AUUGAACGCUGGCGGCAGGCCUAACACAUGCAAGUCGAACGGUAACAGGGAUCAGCUUGCUGAUUCGCUGACGAGUGGCGGACGGGUGAGUAAUGUCUGGGAAACUGCCUGAUGGAGGGGGAUAACUACUGGGAAACGGUAGCUAAUACCGCAUAACGUCGCAAGACCAAAGAGGGGGACCUUCGGGCCUCUUGCCAUCGGAUGUGCCCAGAUGGGAUUAGCUAGUAGGUGGGGUAACGGCUCACCUAGGCGACGAUCCCUAGCUGGUCUGAGAGGAUGACCAGCCACACUGGAACUGAGACACGGUCCAGACUCCUACGGGAGGCAGCAGUGGGGAAUAUUGCACAAUGGGCGCAAGCCUGAUGCAGCCAUGCCGCGUGUAUGAAGAAGGCCUUCGGGUUGUAAAGUACUUUCAGCGGGGAGGAAGGGAGUAAAGUUAAUACCUUUGCUCAUUGACGUUACCCGCAGAAGAAGCACCGGCUAACUCCGUG
Molecule: ribosomal RNA, 491 nt
Filed under: uncultured bacterium
Lineage: Bacteria
Description: partial 16S ribosomal RNA
Rfam family: Bacterial small subunit ribosomal RNA
Source: RNAcentral